CAUAUAUUGAAUGCCUCCCCCUUAAUUUUUGAAUUCUUAAGUACCGUAAAAGAUGAGACAACAAGAGAGAAUACAAACAUACAUUCCUCUUCCCCUUUUGACAUAAUAAAAAAGGAAGUGAUAGAUGGGUGAAAUAUAACAUAUUAUGCAUAUAAUAGUCAUUCACACAUAAACAAGAACAUUGAAGAAAAACAUCCAUGCAUACUUGUGCAAACAUUAAACCAUGUUUGAAGUUACAAACCACAAACUUCAUCAUGGACAACCAUAUGAAACAUGACGACAUGAGCCCAAUUGACCAGUAUUUCACGCUUAAUGGCAUACAAAAACAUUAUUUCCAUAUUUAUGAUGUGAGAAUAGUUUGAAGAUUUAGAAUAAAUCACACAUGCCAUGAAAUAAUGUAACACUCUAUCAUCAAUUGAAAUAUUUCCAACAAACUAAAGAAUCCUAGAGGGUUCAACACCAUCAACAUCAUUCUUUCUCUUGUUCUGAAUUUCCUCCUUAGAAACUCUAUUGAUCCCAUAGUAGAAUUCAGAUUUCUUAUAACUUUUCCAUGGAGAAUGAGAGUUGUGUUGAAGUUCAACACCAACAUAAGGAGCCUUCAAAAUAUGUUCUAGUUGUUAGACAAUUAAAUAUAUUUCAGUACCCUUAACAGAUUCCAAGAUAUUCUCUUCUCUUAUAUCAAAGUUGUUAUAUAAAUCUAUAAUCAAAUCAGGAUAGAACCUUCAAGAAUAAAUCCCCGUGUUCUAACCUUUGCAUAAUCAACUGAUUAGUAAAGUUAAAGACAUUAGAGGGAAAGGUUUCAAGCUUACCAAACUUAGAAGGAAUUUUUUCUUAGCAAUGUGUAGAAACUUUGCAUCUUAUUCCUGGGUUGUGAAGAACCUUGAGAAAUCCAAGACAUAUUCCUCUUUUUUGACGUUGAAGCUUUUCGUUUUCCUUUACUUUGAGCAUUCAUGGCAGAUUUUGAGAGAUGAAGGGGUUUUGAGUUGAUUUAAAAAUAUAUAUUAAGGAACACAUUCUUUAAAAAAAAGUAUAUAACAUUAUAUAAGUUAAGAUUCGAAGUGUGACACUGUUUCGCACAUAUAACAACAAUUGUUUUUAUUGGAUUAUAGUUAUAUAUUAUUUAAAAAAUAAUAUAUAACAGACACCUAAUAAACAUAUAUUAUUUCAGUUAGUUAAGUCUCUCAAAUAACAAAUUAUUACGGGAUGUGCUUUUUUAUAAUAGUCAAAGUUUUUGUGAGUUAGAAUAAGAGGAGAAGGAAAUGAUUCGUAGGAAG
This 1274-nucleotide long non-coding RNA is filed under the name Lathyrus oleraceus (garden pea). RNAcentral describes it as "Pisum sativum (pea) long non-coding RNA (PSAT_LNC033002)". The record is from RNAcentral. Lineage: Eukaryota; Viridiplantae; Streptophyta; Magnoliopsida; Fabales; Fabaceae.